GCCGCCGCCGCGCGAGGAGCCAGGAUGGUCCUGGUCCACGUCGGCUAUUUCGUGCUUCCAGUGUUUGGCUCUGUGCGAAACAGAGCUCAGUGAAUGGUCAACUCGCUGCUGUGUGCGCUGUGACCCUUCUGCCUCCGCAUUUAGCUGUAUUGUGACACCCCUCUUAACCAUCUCCUGUCUCCAUCUGAGGAAGGCAUUGCUAUUUAAGCGGCAGUAUCCCCUAUCUCAGGCCAGCCUAGCAGCGGGGGGCGGUGGUGGAGUGGGUGUGUGAAGAAUAGGAAUGGGGGGGUGCUGGGUGAGAUCUCCCUUGAAAUGCCAACCCCUCCCCCAAUACACAAUUAUAUCUUAUUACUUGGCAUUUCCUCUUAAAACGGGUGUGGAACAUUACACUAGGCAGAAAUUCAAAAAUGAUUAAGAAGGAUGUUGAGCCUGAAAGUAUAAUUAUCCUGAUUAAAUCAUUAUCAUCCUCAUUAAUACCACCAAUCUCUAAAUACCAUUGCAGGAUGCUGAUUCCAUGUUUUGAAAUUCAAAUUGCUCAGCUGCCUUUAAAUUUUAUUUUUGAUACACCCCCCCCUCAAAAAAAAAAAAACCAAAAACACCCAAGAAAACAAAUUCUGCCAGUCAGUCAAAGUUUACUUUCAUGGCAAACACGCCCAUAGGAAAUUCAAGGGCUGAGGGUUAAUUGGGCUGUGAGUAAAAUUUAGCACAAUGUGAUAAGAAUUCAUGACCUUCCGAUAGAGGAUACUAAUGCUUAACUCAACAAGGUCCUAAACCACAAUCUUCUUGUAAAACUAUUAGAUAGCUUGCCAGCUUAAAUCUGUUCCUUUUAGUUUCCAUUGUAGUAGUAUAGGAUGUAGGCCAUUUCAGAAUAGAUGUAGAGAAAUAACCAUUUUUGUAUCUCAUCUUGUUUAGCCGAGUACAUUGCACUGUAAAUCCCUGUUAAGUGGAUUCCUUUUGCCUUGGCUUGGAGGCUGUAGCACCCCAUUUCCCACUUAUCUGGGUGGCCAUCAGCUAGCUUCCUGGUAGCACCCAGGCAUAAGUGAAGAGAUGACGUUUAGUCAGAGGCAAGAAAUAAUAAAUAUAGAUAUGAAAAAUUUUGAUGAAAUGACAGUUGCUGCUACUCUGAAAAUGUGGUGUAGCAAAAAGGUCCUUGACUUAAGGGGGAGCCGUAGCCGUGGCAUCUUAAUUGUUUAAUUGUACAAUGUCAAGAGCAUCUUUGUACAUCCGCCCUGGCCCUCAGAGCUGCCCCUUUAACAGCCGGCCCCCUUCUGCUGCCUCGCUAGCCAGACCUGCUUGAAAACUGAAACAAAACAGCAGCAAUAAAGAAUAAGGCCCCUACUUCGAGGGCCCUUCCAAAAUAAAGUCCCAAGGGGCCUCCCCAGAUUGCCAUUUGGCAAUCUGAAAAGAAAGAGAAGAGAAAAAAGAAAAGAAAAGAAAAAGGAUCCCCAGCAAAAUGGUUUUCCAUUAAACAGGGAUAGCGUGUUCUGCUGUGCUGAAUUACUUCCUGUUCUUAUUUUGUGGGUAAUUUUUUCUGUAUCAAAUAUCCUUUCGGUUGUGUAUCUUUUUCACCUUUUCUUGUACUAAAACUAAAGCAUGAUCUGUAUUUUUUUACAUCCCCCAGUUGACAAUGUACAGCGCUCGGUUAGAGAUGUUACCCUGCUGAAACGUACUGUGCUCGUGUAGCCCGGGCCAUCUGCUCAUUGUACGCUGCUUUUGUUCUGUUGCCCUUCCGAAGCAUGGUGGGCCCAGCCUUUUUUUUUUUUUGUAUCGUGUGCAUGACGACAUUGUUACACACAGAAUCCACUAAU
Kogia breviceps (pygmy sperm whale) is the source of this 1808-nucleotide non-coding RNA. NCBI's taxonomy places the organism in Eukaryota, Metazoa, Chordata, Mammalia, Artiodactyla, Physeteridae. The record is from RefSeq and is a predicted model, not a curated record.